Paramuricea clavata is the source of this 783-nucleotide non-coding RNA. The record is from the annotation of a GenBank genome assembly. Lineage: Eukaryota; Metazoa; Cnidaria; Anthozoa; Malacalcyonacea; Plexauridae.
CUUUUUUGUCUGUUUUUAUUCUGAGGAUAUCAUAAACUUCACCCCUGGAAAGUUUCCGUAAAUUCUCAUUCCCAGAACAAUAUUGAUGAAUCACCUUGAAUCUUAUUUUUAUAAUGUCCUUUAGAUGAGUGCAAAGAUUUGAUGUGGAGUGUGAAAAACCAGUUGGCUUCUGCAGCAUGGAAGCUCACAGGUGCAGAUGAGAAGCAAGUGUUCAAGAGUUCAUCAGAUGACCUCAAAUCAUGGCAGUUGGCAAAAACAUGAAGCACAGCCAGGAGGAAAAACCUUUAAUCUUGCCCGUUUAUACUGAAGCAGAAGAAAGGUUUUGGUUAUACUAUCUAUCACUAAGCCAACUUAAAUACAGCAAAAGGACCACUUACAAAGAUUACUGGUUGGACCUUAGUCCUACUAACUGAAGGUUACAAAGUCCUGCAUUCCAAACAAGUGACUUUACUGGGGAAAAACAUUAUUCGUAUAAUGCAUGGUCCCAUGUAUUUCACACUGACUGAAACCUUAGGCCAGUCAAGGUGCAACCUUCCACUAGGAAAUAGGCCAUUGAAAAAGCUCUUGAAAUGCUUAGUUAAGUAGCUAAUUUGGAGUAGUAAUGUAAAUAGAUUUUCCUAUACACUGUUAAAAAUUGUGCAAAAUACGUUUUAUUGUAGUCGCUUAUUCUCUAUUUUCUAAAGGUCAAACUUUGGAAGGACCUAAUAGUAAUAGUGAUCUAGCAAACUUUGAGAUUUGUCUAGGCAUUUAAUAUAUGAUCUAACAUUCUUUAACAUUGAUUUA